UAAGGAAUAUUGGUCAAUGGAGGCAACUCUGAACCAGCCAUGCCGCGUGCAGGAAGAAGGCCCUAUGGGUCGUAAACUGCUUUUGAACAAGAGAAAACCCCGGUACGUGUACUGGGUUGAUAGUAUUGUUAGAAUAAGCAUCGGCUAACUUCGUGCCAGCAGCCGCGGUAAGACGAAGGAUGCAAGCGUUAUCCGGAUUCAUUGGGUUUAAAGGGUGCGUAGGCAGACUGAUAAGUCAGUGGUGAAAUCUCUCGGCUUAACCGAGAAACUGCCAUUGAUACUGUUAGUCUAGAGUACAGAUGAUGUGGGCGGAAUAUGACAUGUAGUGGUGAAAUACUUAGAUAUGUCAUAGAACACCGAUUGCGAAGGCAGCUCACAAAACUGUAACUGACGCUGAGGCACGAAAGUGCGGGGAUCAAACAGGAUUAGAUACCCUCGUAGUCCCUGAGCGGGCUGGCAAGGCGCAU
RNAcentral lists this ribosomal RNA (467 nucleotides) under uncultured bacterium. RNAcentral describes it as "bacterial SSU rRNA". It matches the Rfam family "Bacterial small subunit ribosomal RNA", at positions 355 to 825 of the family's 1533-position model. The record is from RNAcentral.